Molecule: long non-coding RNA, 364 nt
Organism: Cygnus olor (mute swan)
Lineage: Eukaryota; Metazoa; Chordata; Aves; Anseriformes; Anatidae
Exons: 3
Source: RefSeq, a predicted model, not a curated record
GGGAUUUCCUAUUCCUAAUUUGACCUGGUGGACACCAACUUUCCUAGUAAAUUGCUGAUGUUGCUGAGGAGGCAGCAGUAUCAAAGUCCUUGUGGAUGAAGAUACAACAAAUUUUGGGAGGCUUUGUCAUUUCUAUACAAUCCUGCUCCCUGAUUGUGACCCAAGACUAAGAUUCUGAAUGAAGCAAAGCAAGCUAGAGGAAAACUGUAUGUCCUGUCUCCAAAACUCCAUAUUAUAGCUGAUCUUCAUCUCGGAUCUGAAAAGCUUCACAGGCCAAAAGAGAAUUGAGAUGAGGAAGGAAGCAGAGAAUGCUGAUGAAUAUUUCCAAUUACCACCCCAACUUAUGUCUUGGUUCUUCACAUCA